Molecule: ribosomal RNA, 253 nt
Filed under: uncultured bacterium
Lineage: Bacteria
Description: partial 16S ribosomal RNA
Rfam family: Bacterial small subunit ribosomal RNA
Source: RNAcentral
UACGUAGGGUCCAAGCGUUAAUCGGAAUUACUGGGCGUAAAGCGUGCGCAGGCGGUUCGUUAAGUCAGCUGUGAAAGCCCCGGGCUCAACCUGGGAAUUGCGGUUGAAACUGGCGAACUAGAAUCUGGCAGAGGGGGGUGGAAUUCCACGUGUAGCAGUGAAAUGCGUAGAGAUGUGGAGGAACACCAGUGGCGAAGGCGGCCGACUGGGCCGAUCCUGACGCUGAGACCCGAAAGCCAGGGUAGCGAACCGG